GUCAAAAUGGUAAGGGUGCACUGGCCGUUAAACAUGGCUGUGCCAUAAAUAAAUAAAUUAUACGAUGCUGUUACUCACGUAAAUUUUGUGUGUAAUGGUAAGUUAAUAACGUGCGAUAAAGUUUGGAAAAUUCGCUACUGGUCAAAUUCACCAAAAUGCUGGAAAUAACUGAUUUUCAAAGUAAGUUUACCCAAAUCAAGAGAAAUUGGCAUUGGUCUAACAGGAUUUGGUGUUGCUUUUCUCUUUCUGGGGGUAAUAUUUGUUUUUAAUAAAGGACUUUUGGCCAUUGGAAACAUAUUGUUCCUUUCUGGAAUUGCUUUUGUUAUUGGCUAUGAAAGAACAUUCCGAUUUUUCUUUCAACAACAUAAACUAAAAGGAACUGUGGCCUUUUUUGGGGGAAUAUUUUUAGUAUUAUUUGGUUGGCCCCUUGUAGGAAUAUUAAUAGAAACCUAUGGAUUCAUUUUGCUUUUCAGUGGCUUCUUCCCAGUGGCAUUAAAUUUCUUGCAGAGAAUUCCUGUUUUGGGGGCUUUACUCUCUUUACCGUACAUAAGCAAGAUUGUGGACAGGUAGGAGGUAAUCCUAGCAGGUCAAUGGUGUGAAAGGCCACCGGGUACAAGUUAGUAGAAAAAAAUUAUAACAAAUAACACAUAGCAAGAGUGUUAUGAUGGAUUGGUGUAUUUGUCCCCUUCUGAAGUUGAACGUAUUCACAAAGAACUGUUUAUAAACUAUAUUUACUUGCAUACUUUCAUUCAAAGUAAAUUAUGUAACCCAACCUUUAUAUUCUAAAUGUAAAAGUUUAAAUUAAUAUAGGAAAUUUAGAAAUUAAUGCAGAUGUAAUUUUUUGGAAGAUUGUAACUAAGUUUUCAUUAGUUAAUGCAUUAUUAUAAAACUUUUUUUUAUAAAAAAUUACCAAAAAUUUAUAAAAUUACACCUUCCUUAUCUGUAAAGGUCAAAAGUGAAUUCACCAGUCAUUGUAGCAAACCAUCUUAUAUAGCUGUGUAAAAAGCCUCUUGUAACAAGGUAACGUUAUUUGUAGAAAUUGUUACCCUGUGAUGAUUUUAACCUUCAUGUAAUCACCAUCACAUUUUACUCUGUUGGAAAAAGUUAUGUGCAAGUGUUAACUAUCUUUGAUAAUGAAAUUUGUAUCUUUUGCUUUGGAAAACAGUAUUUUGUUUCCUCCUGUCCAAAUUUCAGGAUGAAAGAUAAAUUUCUGAUGUAGAUAAAAGACAUGAGGUAAAAAAAUAUCCUAUUCAGUACUCUCAACUGAAAUUUAAUGAUGACUUUUCAAAGUAUGAACUAUUAUUUGAUGUUUUCAAAAUUUCAUACAAAAUGGUGUCAGCUAGAGCGAGUUACCUCAUUCACAGAAUAUAUAAAUAGAAAAAUGGAUUUUAAAGUUUCUGCUGACAAUAUACUUCAGUGGUGAAAACUCCUUUUCAUUGUUAUUGUUUAUAUUAUUUCUUAUUUCUGUGAUUGAAAUUCCUGUUAUCAGUUCACUGGAAAAAAGAUAAUAAUCUAAGUUUUAUUGAAAAAAAUUAAAAACUUAUUUCAAAUCA
This 1553-nucleotide unclassified non-coding RNA is filed under the name Limulus polyphemus (Atlantic horseshoe crab). Its description in RNAcentral is "vesicle transport protein GOT1B-like, transcript variant X2". Lineage: Eukaryota; Metazoa; Arthropoda; Merostomata; Xiphosura; Limulidae. The record is from RNAcentral.